AGGACGAACGCUGGCGGCGUGCUUAACACAUGCAAGUGGAGCGACGAACCAGGGCUUGCCCUGGGGCAGAGCCGCGAACGGGUGAGUAACACGUGGGUUACCUGCCUCGAUGACCGGGACAACCCGAGGAAACUCGGGCUAAUACCGGAUGUGCCCGUAAGGGGAAAGGAAGCUUCGGCCUCCGCAUCGAGAUGGGCCCGCGGCCCAUUAGCUUGUUGGUGAGGUAACGGCUCACCAAGGCUUCGAUGGGUAGCUGGUCUGAGAGGACGAUCAGCCACACUGGGACUGAGACACGGCCCAGACUCCUACGGGAGGCAGCAGUGGGGAAUCUUGCGCAAUGCGCGAAAGCGUGACGCAGCAACGCCGCGUGGGGGAAGAAGGCUUUCGGGUUGUAAACCCCUUUCGAGUUGGGACGAAGCUUCUCCGGUGAAUAGCCGGACGGAGUGACGGUACCUUCACAAGAAGCACCGGCUAACUACGCGCCAGCAGCCGCGGU
This 496-nucleotide ribosomal RNA is filed under the name uncultured bacterium. RNAcentral's name for it is "SSU rRNA". It matches the Rfam family "Bacterial small subunit ribosomal RNA", at positions 26 to 521 of the family's 1533-position model. The record is from RNAcentral.